Rattus norvegicus (Norway rat) is the source of this 2979-nucleotide long non-coding RNA. RefSeq lists it as uncharacterized. The record is from RefSeq and is a predicted model, not a curated record. Lineage: Eukaryota; Metazoa; Chordata; Mammalia; Rodentia; Muridae.
CAUGUUUGAUCCUCCUGCCACAUGGCAACUGUUUCCACUUAGAGGGUCCCAGAGGGUAUAGGGACUCUCAACAAACACGAUGGUCUUAAUCUCCUUUUGCUCUCUUCUCCAAGGGUUUAGACAUGGUCAGAGCUUGUAUCAUUGCAAAGCCUCCCGGGUGAUGUAGUCAUGUUCGACUUCUGAAUUGACACUGGCCAUUGAUGAAAAUCACCUGCAUUUAUUAUCGUGUGCCACACCCCGCACCAACCAAUUAUCCGAUGGCUAAGAAUUGUCUCCAAAAGAUUUGCUUCAAAAGAGGGUGCUGGAAAAUGGUGGGGACUGUUUAAAAAAAAACCAUCACUGGGCUUUCAAGUAAGUUUCUAAGCCAUUCUGGGAAACUUUUUUUCCCCUCAAACCCAACUUAGCAGACUUGGCUUAAGAAAGGCUUAUUCCCUUCAAUUAAAACCAAGAGCAUUAAUCAAAUGUUUGACACUAUAAAUGUUUCCAAUUAACAUCUAGCUUAAAACCACAUGUGUUUCAAGGGAAAUUCAAAAGAUCUAUCGGUACAGGUGACCCCUGAGAAACCAUUAACACAUGGCUGGAGACAGCAAGAAACAUUCUCCAUUUGUGAAAAAGAUAAAGAAUCCAUUUAGGGCUCAUUACUACUUCAAACAUUAUGUUCAGACGGGAGACUCCUAAGCUGGAAGUUAGGGAUUUAUGAAUGAGUCAAAAGGAAAAUAAUAACAUAUCUGUGUUUGAAAUAGUCACACCCGAAAGAACAAGUUCUGGUCCUAAGAAAAACCAUGGUUUGUUCAUGAUCCAGAGACGUCGGCUGUUUAUCUGAGGAGUUUGUCCCAAGCUGUUCUUUUCUGCCUUCUGCAGAGGCCGCAUGUUCAGAUACCUGUGGGUCCAAGGAGGUUGCUGAAAUGCAGGGAAUGGGAUGGCCUGGUGUACCGGGGACCACAUCCAAUCACCUCUCUAAGGAGAGAAUCUCCAUUGAAUGCCAGCCAACUUCUGUCUCUUGAAAGUGCAAGUCUGAUACUCUAAGAGAAUUCAUGAAUUUCAAAGAGUGGUAAUUAAUUGGAUGCAAAGCAAAACAACAAACACUGACCUUUUCCUCAGCGUGUAACCUUUGCAUCUGCUUUUGGGUGGAAUGGAGGGGUGGGGUCAGGCUGACAUGGUUCCAGUGUGGAUGGCAGUGAACCCUUUCAGUGAUCUAUCAGCCCAUGACCAGUCUUGGCAGGCAUUCUUUGGCUGUCUCUCACAGAGAAUCCACCCAGCUCCUGGCAGAAGAGAAAAGACUUCCCAAAUCAUUUCUCAACUGAUCGGUCAAAGUGAGUUAAAUUAUUCCAGGUGUGCUGUGUAGGGGGUUAUUAUGACCAUAGGGGAAUGGUAACAUUAGGGCAAGUCCAUCGCCCAGAGAGCUGAUGAAUUGCCUUCUCUUGCCUGUCUCCCUGUGACCCCUCAACAGCUGGGCUGCCAAUCCCACAGUGAGGGGCUGCCGACAAACACCUAGGGCUAGUCGGCUGGGCCCAGAAAGACACAUAUUUCUUUCUCAUUUUUCUCUUCAAAUAUCUUCCAAAAGACAAAAGACAGGAGAUGACCAUAAUAAGAUAAAUGCUGGGAUGGUCACACAGAACAAAAUAUUUGACAUCCAGAAAUGAUUUCAAGACCUAGAGAACUGCUACACUCAUAUUUUCACAGAGACUUUUUUUUUUUACUUUUUUCUUCUUUCUUUUUCCUCUCUUCUUCUUCCACUCUUUUAUUUUUAAUGUUUUUAUUCCAAUGUUUUUGUGUUUUGGCUAGAAAUUGUUAGAUGGGUUUUAAAACAGAUAAACAAAAUAAAAAAUAGAUGGUGAUUUUAGCUUAUUUCAGUAAUCACCCAGUGUCUGCGUAGUCUUUGUUCUACACCCUAACUAGCUAAAUGGUUGUUGAGUGGUUCCCAUUGUUCUUCUCAAUCUUGGCUUAACAAUUGGUCAUAGAUACCAAACUUUAUAAAAGGUAAAGGUUGAGCAAGUACGUGCUAAUAAAAGCCAACCAAGGGAGCAAGACACAAAUGCCAGCUUUUGAUAUCAUCUGUGGGUGAUAGAAUUUAAUCCUGCCCCCAUGCAUAUGCUGAAAUUUCUUUAGGAUUUAUGUUUUUGCAAAUCAUAGGAAACUUAAUUAAAACUAUCUUUACAACAACAGGUCUUGUUGGGUGUUAUAACUGAGAUGCCCUGGCCCGAUCCGGGACCACAAAUAUGACAGAAUAGCUUUGUCCCUUUCAUCCCUUCAUCCUGCUGGCUUCAGCUCUCCAACUGGAACCAGGAACCCGUUGGAAGAAGACAGACCCUUUCUCUGGUCUCAGGAUGGGAAACAAGUACUACCCACAGAAUGCCAGCCACACUCAGAGUGCAUUUUCAUGUCCAGAGUGACUGUGUCUCAUAGUACGAUCACGAAAGUCACCACGUGAAUCAUGGAAGUGAGAUACUUGGAAUGGUCUGGGGUUCAGAAAGAUUCAGGACCUUUCUCUCCAAAUAGUGGCUAGCUGGGAGACUGUCCUCACACGCAAAGUCACACACACGCAUCAACCUGAGGAGGAAAGGAAACUGAAGAAAAGCCACCCUGGACAGUAACACUCACCCAGGACCUUUCCUUUCUCCUGACCCUGAACUCACUCUUUCUUAAGCCCUGUCCAGGCAACGGCACACAGGCAUAUUUGACAGUAGUGCCUAGAGGGAAGUUCAGUUGGGUUUCCAGGGGCAUAUGCAGCUGUUGUGGUUCUGUGGCUACCCAGAUGCUGCUGGGGUGAUCUUGGGAGGGAAGUAGAAAGACUCUCCACAUCCCAGGUUUCAGCUGUGUAAGCAACACGAUUGUGAGGAGGAAGAUGAGAGAGACCUCUGUGGGGUCUACCCCAGUGUCCUGUCUUGUAUACUGCUAUGUUAUGUGGCUAUCCAAGUUGUUGAAUAGUUAAUUCUCUAUAAAUAAUUGUUAAAUAAAGUUACUCAAGUUUCCACAUAA